Molecule: transfer RNA, 66 nt
Filed under: Agriocnemis femina
Lineage: Eukaryota; Metazoa; Arthropoda; Insecta; Odonata; Coenagrionidae
Description: tRNA-Asp
Source: RNAcentral
AAAGGAUUAGUUAAAAUAUAACACUAGAAUGUCAGCCUAGAAUUACUAAUAAAUUAGUAUUCUUUA